RNAcentral lists this transfer RNA (72 nucleotides) under Lachnospiraceae bacterium NE2001. It matches the Rfam family "tRNA". Rfam says of the family: Transfer RNA (tRNA) molecules are approximately 80 nucleotides in length. Their secondary structure includes four short double-helical elements and three loops (D, anti-codon, and T loops). Further hydrogen bonds mediate the characteristic L-shaped molecular structure. tRNAs have two regions of fundamental functional importance: the anti-codon, which is responsible for specific mRNA codon recognition, and the 3' end, to which the tRNAs corresponding amino acid is attached (by aminoacyl-tRNA synthetases). tRNAs cope with the degeneracy of the genetic code in two manners: having more than one tRNA (with a specific anti-codon) for a particular amino acid; and 'wobble' base-pairing, i.e. permitting non-standard base-pairing at the 3rd anti-codon position. Lineage: Bacteria; Bacillati; Bacillota; Clostridia; Lachnospirales; Lachnospiraceae. RNAcentral also lists the same sequence under 1 other name. The record is from Rfam by way of RNAcentral.
GGAUGCUUAGUGUAACUGGCAGCACGAUAGUCUCCAAAACUAUUAGUAGUGGUUCAAAUCCAUUAGCAUCUG